This 307-nucleotide unclassified non-coding RNA is filed under the name uncultured fungus. RNAcentral describes it as "partial contains 5.8S ribosomal RNA and internal transcribed spacer 2". The stretch from base 1 to 133 matches the Rfam family "5.8S ribosomal RNA", at positions 22 to 154 of the family's 154-position model. Lineage: Eukaryota; Fungi. The record is from RNAcentral.
UGGUUCUGGCAUCGAUGAAGAACGCAGCGAAAUGCGAUAAGUAAUGUGAAUUGCAGAAUUCAGUGAAUCAUCGAAUCUUUGAACGCACAUUGCACCUUUUGGUAUUCCGAAAGGUAUAUCUGUUCGAACGUCAUUUAAAUCUCAAGUUUAACUUGGUCUUGACGAAUGUCUCUUGACAUCGUUCAAAUUAAAUGGUUUGAAUUAAUUUCAUCAUGAGGUUGCAAUAUUCCUCAUCAUAAAUUAAAUCAACUCCGGUCAAUAUUUUUAUUUUAAAGUUGACUUCGAAUCAGAUAAGAAUACCCGCUGA